GACGAACGCUGGCGGCGUGCUUAACACAUGCAAGUCGAACGGAAAGGCCCUGCUUUUGUGGGGUGCUCGAGUGGCGAACGGGUGAGUAACACGUGAGUAACCUGCCCUUGACUUUGGGAUAACUUCAGGAAACUGGGGCUAAUACCGGAUAGGAGCUCCUGCUGCAUGGUGGGGGUUGGAAAGUUUCGGCGGUUGGGGAUGGACUCGCGGCUUAUCAGCUUGUUGGUGGGGUAGUGGCUUACCAAGGCUUUGACGGGUAGCCGGCCUGAGAGGGUGACCGGCCAUUUGGGCUGUGAGACGCGCCCGAGUCUCCUGCGGGGGCAGGAGGGGGGAAUUUUGCACAGGGGGGGGACCUCUGGUGGAGACGCCCCGUGCGGGGUAUGGCGCCUUUGGGUUUAAACCCCGUUCUCCCGUGUCACAACGUGUGUGUGAGGGAUGGGGGAAAAAAACCACCCGAAAUCUAC
RNAcentral lists this ribosomal RNA (464 nucleotides) under uncultured bacterium. RNAcentral describes it as "partial 16S ribosomal RNA". It matches the Rfam family "Bacterial small subunit ribosomal RNA", at positions 28 to 504 of the family's 1533-position model. The record is from RNAcentral.